Molecule: signal recognition particle RNA, 97 nt
Filed under: Gammaproteobacteria bacterium
Lineage: Bacteria; Pseudomonadati; Pseudomonadota; Gammaproteobacteria
Description: signal recognition particle sRNA small type
Rfam family: Bacterial small signal recognition particle RNA
About the family: The signal recognition particle (SRP) is a universally conserved ribonucleoprotein involved in the co-translational targeting of proteins to membranes. Archaeal SRP consists of a 7S RNA and homologues of the eukaryotic SRP19 and SRP54 proteins.
Source: RNAcentral
CAUUGGCCCCCUCGCAACGAUGAUCCGUGAACCCGGUCAGGCCCGGAAGGGAGCAGCCGCAGCGGUGAUGUCGGGUGCCGAGGUAAGGCUGGUGUGA